This 468-nucleotide ribosomal RNA is filed under the name uncultured bacterium. Its description in RNAcentral is "partial 16S ribosomal RNA". It matches the Rfam family "Bacterial small subunit ribosomal RNA", at positions 28 to 507 of the family's 1533-position model. The record is from RNAcentral.
GACGAACGCUGGCGGCGUGCUUAAUACAUGCAAGUCGAACGGAAAGGCCCUGCUUUUGUGGGUUGCUCGAGUGGCGAACGGGUGAGUAACACGUGAGUAACCUGCCCUUGACUUUGGGAUAACUUCAGGAAACUGGGGCUAUAACCGGAUAGAAUAUCCUGCUCCGUGUGGGUGGUUGGAGAGUUCCGGCGUUGGGGGAUGGAUUCGCGGCUUACCCGCUGGUUGUGGGGGUAGUGGCUUACAAAGGCUUUGACGGAUAGCCGGCCUGGGAGGUUGACCGGCCACAUUGGGACUGAGAUACGGCCCAGACUCGUACGGGAGGCAGCGGUGGGGAGUAUUGCACAAUAGGCGGAAGCGUGAUGCAGCAACGCCGCGUGCGGGAUAACGGCCUUCGGGGUGAAAACCGCUGUCGCCUGUGACGAAGCGUGAGUGACGGUAAUGAGUAAGGAAGCACCGGCUAACUACGUG